GGGAAAGUCGCAUCGUUCCUUCUUGCAUACCUUCGAAUCGGGAUGUCGUCUACCAAAAAUAUGAUAUCUGAUGGAGUCCAUUGAAUGGCGUAAUGGUGGAAAUCCUGUGUGGGAUCAAACCAGAGAUGGAACCUCAUUUCUCUUCCGAUAACGUUUCCAUCUCCACUUCCUCUGAUGAAGACGUUCGUUUGCAGAGUGUACGGCUUCCCUGGCGUUGUUCCGAGGAAUUCGAUGUCGAUUUCGUCGUGGUUUCCGGGGAAAUAUUGGUUGUUCGAAAGGUAGAAUGAUGUAAUAACUCCUG
RNAcentral lists this unclassified non-coding RNA (301 nucleotides) under Hevea brasiliensis (rubber tree). The record is from RNAcentral. Lineage: Eukaryota; Viridiplantae; Streptophyta; Magnoliopsida; Malpighiales; Euphorbiaceae.